RNAcentral lists this unclassified non-coding RNA (143 nucleotides) under soil metagenome. RNAcentral's name for it is "partial internal transcribed spacer 1". The record is from RNAcentral.
CCGAGUUUACAACUCCCAAACCCCUGUGAACAUACCUAUCGUUGCUUCGGCGGAUCCGCCCCGGCGCCCUCGGCCCGGAUCAGGCCCCCCCCCAAACUCUUGUAUUUCUUUAGUAUCUUCUGAGUAAACAAGCAAAUAAAUUA